RNAcentral lists this ribosomal RNA (253 nucleotides) under uncultured bacterium. RNAcentral's name for it is "partial 16S ribosomal RNA". It matches the Rfam family "Bacterial small subunit ribosomal RNA", at positions 524 to 776 of the family's 1533-position model. The record is from RNAcentral.
UACGUAGGGUGCGAGCGUUAAUCGGAAUUACUGGGCGUAAAGCGUGCGCAGGCGGUUCGCCAAGUCAGGUGUGAAAUCCCCGGGCUUAACCUGGGAAUUGCGCUUGAAACUAGCGGGCUUGAGUGUGGCAGAGGGGGGUGGAAUUCCUGGUGUAGCAGUGAAAUGCGUAGAUAUCAGGAGGAAUACCGAUGGCGAAGGCAGGUCUCUGGGCUGACACUGACGCUCAUGCACGAAAGCGUGGGGAGCAAACAGG